Molecule: ribosomal RNA, 727 nt
Filed under: uncultured bacterium
Lineage: Bacteria
Description: bacterial SSU rRNA
Rfam family: Bacterial small subunit ribosomal RNA
Source: RNAcentral
GGUUAGUGGCGGACGGGUGAGUAACACGUGGGAACGUGCCUUUAGGUUCGGAAUAGCUCCUGGAAACGGGUGGUAAUGCCGAAUGUGCCCUUCGGGGGAAAGAUUUAUCGCCUUUAGAGCGGCCCGCGUCUGAUUAGCUAGUUGGUGAGGUAAUGGCUCACCAAGGCGACGAUCAGUAGCUGGUCUGAGAGGAUGACCAGCCACAUUGGGACUGAGACACGGCCCAAACUCCUACGGGAGGCAGCAGUGGGGAAUCUUGCGCAAUGGGCGAAAGCCUGACGCAGCCAUGCCGCGUGAAUGAUGAAGGUCUUAGGAUUGUAAAAUUCUUUCACCGGGGACGAUAAUGACGGUACCCGGAGAAGAAGCCCCGGCUAACUUCGUGCCAGCAGCCGCGGUAAUACGAAGGGGGCUAGCGUUGCUCGGAAUUACUGGGCGUAAAGGGCGCGUAGGCGGACAUUUAAGUCAGGGGUGAAAUCCCAGAGCUCAACUCUGGAACUGCCUUUGAUACUGGGUGUCUUGAGUGUGAGAGAGGUAUGUGGAACUCCGAGUGUAGAGGUGAAAUUCGUAGAUAUUCGGAAGAACACCAGUGGCGAAGGCGACAUACUGGCUCAUUACUGACGCUGAGGCGCGAAAGCGUGGGGAGCAAACAGGAUUAGAUACCCUGGUAGUCCACGCCGUAAACGAUGAUUGCUAGUUGUCGGGCUGCAUGCAGUUCGGUGACGCAGCU